Molecule: ribosomal RNA, 493 nt
Filed under: uncultured bacterium
Lineage: Bacteria
Description: bacterial SSU rRNA
Rfam family: Bacterial small subunit ribosomal RNA
Source: RNAcentral
GAUGAACGCUAGCGGCAGGCUUACUUUUUGCAAGUCGAGGGGCAGCGCGGGUAGCAAUACCUGGCGGCGACCGGCAAACGGGUGCGGAACACGUACGCAACCUUCCCAAAACUGGUGAAUAGCCUUUCAAAAGAAAGAUUAAUACACCGUAAAAUAAUGAAAAGGCAUCUCUUUAUUAUUAUAGUAGCAAUACGGUUUUGGAUGGGCGUGCGGCUGAUUAGGUAGUUGGCGGGGUAACGGCCCACCAAGCCUGCGAUCAGUAACUGGUGUGAGAGCACGACCAGUCACACGGGCACUGAAACACGGGCCCAACUCCUACGGGAGGCAGCAGUAAGGAAUAUUGGUCAAUGGACGCAAGUCUGAACCAGCCAUGCCGCGUGAAGGAUGAAGGUCCUCUGGAUUGUAAACUUCUUUUAUCUGGGACAAAAAAAGGGAAUUCUUUCUCACUUGACGGUACCAAAGGAAUAAGCACCGGCUAACUCCGUGCCAGCAC